This 631-nucleotide ribosomal RNA is filed under the name Klebsiella sp. Its description in RNAcentral is "bacterial SSU rRNA". It matches the Rfam family "Bacterial small subunit ribosomal RNA", at positions 127 to 753 of the family's 1533-position model. Lineage: Bacteria; Pseudomonadati; Pseudomonadota; Gammaproteobacteria; Enterobacterales; Enterobacteriaceae. The record is from RNAcentral.
UGCCUGAUGGAGGGGGAUAACUACUGGAAACGGUAGCUAAUACCGCAUAACGUCGCAAGACCAAAGUGGGGGACCUUCGGGCCUCAUGCCAUCAGAUGUGCCCAGAUGGGAUUAGCUAGUAGGUGGGGUAACGGCUCACCUAGGCGACGAUCCCUAGCUGGUCUGAGAGGAUGACCAGCCACACUGGAACUGAGACACGGUCCAGACUCCUACGGGAGGCAGCAGUGGGGAAUAUUGCACAAUGGGCGCAAGCCUGAUGCAGCCAUGCCGCGUGUGUGAAGAAGGCCUUCGGGUUGUAAAGCACUUUCAGCGGGGAGGAAGGCGGUGAGGUUAAUAACCUUGUCGAUUGACGUUACCCGCAGAAGAAGCACCGGCUAACUCCGUGCCAGCAGCCGCGGUAAUACGGAGGGUGCAAGCGUUAAUCGGAAUUACUGGGCGUAAAGCGCACGCAGGCGGUCUGUCAAGUCGGAUGUGAAAUCCCCGGGCUCAACCUGGGAACUGCAUUCGAAACUGGCAGGCUAGAGUCUUGUAGAGGGGGGUAGAAUUCCAGGUGUAGCGGUGAAAUGCGUAGAGAUCUGGAGGAAUACCGGUGGCGAAGGCGGCCCCCUGGACAAAGACUGACGCUCAGGUG